GCAUUGGUGGUUCAGCGGUAGAAUUCUCACCUUCCAUGUGGGAGAUGCAGAUUCAGUUCCUGGUCAGUGUA
This 71-nucleotide transfer RNA is filed under the name Loxodonta africana (African savanna elephant). It matches the Rfam family "tRNA". From Rfam's summary of the family: Transfer RNA (tRNA) molecules are approximately 80 nucleotides in length. The record is from Rfam by way of RNAcentral. Lineage: Eukaryota; Metazoa; Chordata; Mammalia; Proboscidea; Elephantidae.